GACGAACGCUGGCGGCGUGCUUAACACAUGCAAGUCGAACGCUGAAGCUUGGUGCUUGCACUGGGUGGAUGAGUGGCGAACGGGUGAGUAAUAAGUGAGUAACCUGCCCUUGACUCUGGGAUAAGCCUGGGAAACUGGUUCUAAUACUGGAUACGACAUGUCACCGCAUGGUGGUGUGUGGAAAGGGUUUUACUGGUUUUGGAUGGGCUCACGGCCUAUCAGCUUGUUGGUGGGGUAAUGGCUCACCAAGGCGACGACGGGUAGCCGGCCUGAGAGGGUGACCGGCCACACUGGGACUGAGACACGGCCCAGACUCCUACGGGAGGCAGCAGUGGGGAAUAUUGCACAAUGGGCGGAAGCCUGAUGCAGCGACGCCGCGUGAGGGAUGACGGCCUUCGGGUUGUAAACCUCUUUCAGCACGGAAGAAGCGAAAGUGACGGUACGUGCAGAAGAAGCGCCGGCUAACUACGUG
This 472-nucleotide ribosomal RNA is filed under the name uncultured bacterium. RNAcentral's name for it is "partial 16S ribosomal RNA". It matches the Rfam family "Bacterial small subunit ribosomal RNA", at positions 28 to 507 of the family's 1533-position model. The record is from RNAcentral.